RNAcentral lists this long non-coding RNA (244 nucleotides) under Linum usitatissimum (flax). Its description in RNAcentral is "long non-coding RNA (LUSI_LNC000493)". Lineage: Eukaryota; Viridiplantae; Streptophyta; Magnoliopsida; Malpighiales; Linaceae. The record is from RNAcentral.
AAAAUUUAGAAAGAAGAACCAAAGAAAGGCAAAAAAACCCCUCCUCCUUCCUCCUUUCUUUCUCCCUCGAUCUUGAUUUCCCUUCUUCAAUGGACAAAUCAAUGAACCUUAGCAGCAAUUACAGACUCCGCCACUCCUUCUCCAUCACCAAGCUCGUCUUCUGGUCCUGCAUUUUCCUCGGCUUGCUCCUCCUCUUCUUCCUCCACUCCCCUCUCUCCCACCACCACCACCGACACUCCUCCGC